CGGAGGGAUCAUUAAAGAGUUCUAUAACUCCCAAACCCAUGUGAACAUACCUAACGUUGCCUCGGCAGGUCGCACCUACCUUGUAGCACCCUACCCUGUAGGGCCUACCCGGGAGGUGCGGGUAAGCCUGCCGGCGGCCCACCAAACUCUGUUUGAUAUUGAAUUCUGAACCUAUAACUAAAUAAGUUAAAACUUUCAACAACGGAUCUCUUGGUUCUGGCAUCGAUGAAGAACGCAGCGAAAUGCGAUAAGUAAUGUGAAUUGCAGAAUUCAGUGAAUCAUCGAAUCUUUGAACGCAUAUUGCGCCCAUUAGUAUUCUAGUGGGCAGGACCGUUCGAGCGUCAUUUCAACCCUUAAGCCUUCGUUGCUUAGUGUUGGGAGCCUACGGCAACGUAGCUCCUCAAAGUUAGUGGCGGAGUUGGUUCACACUCUAGACGUAGUAAUUUUUUAUCUCGCCUAUUAGUUGGACUAAUCCCCUGCCGUAAAACCCCCAAUUUAUCAAGGUUGACCUCGAAUCGGUUCAGACAAACUCGCUAAAUUGAAGCAUCUUAGUCAGCGAAGGAAAAGAAACCAACAGGGAUUGCCCUAGUAACGGCGAGUGAAGCGGCAACAGCUCAAAUUUGAAAUCUGGCCCU
Molecule: ribosomal RNA, 635 nt
Filed under: fungal endophyte
Lineage: Eukaryota; Fungi
Description: eukaryotic LSU rRNA
Rfam family: 5.8S ribosomal RNA (bases 191-344)
Source: RNAcentral